This 315-nucleotide unclassified non-coding RNA is filed under the name plant metagenome. Its description in RNAcentral is "partial contains 5.8S ribosomal RNA, internal transcribed spacer 2, and large subunit ribosomal RNA". The stretch from base 1 to 105 matches the Rfam family "5.8S ribosomal RNA", at positions 50 to 154 of the family's 154-position model. The record is from RNAcentral.
GAACUGCGAUAAGUAAUGUGAAUUGCAGAAUUCAGUGAAUCAUCGAGUCUUUGAACGCACAUUGCGCCCCCUGGCAUUCCGGGGGGCAUGCCUGUCCGAGCGUCAUUGCUGCCCUUCAAGCCCGGCUUGUGUGUUGGGUCGUCGUCCCCUCCGGGGGACGGGCCCGAAAGGCAGAGGCGGCACCGCGUCCGGUCCUCGAGCGUAUGGGGCUUUGUCACCCGCUCGAUAAGGACCGGCCGGGCGCCAGCCGGCGUCUCCAACCUUUUUUUCUCAGGUUGACCUCGGAUCAGGUAGGGAUACCCGCUGAACUUAAGC